This 305-nucleotide ribosomal RNA is filed under the name uncultured bacterium. RNAcentral's name for it is "partial 16S ribosomal RNA". It matches the Rfam family "Bacterial small subunit ribosomal RNA", at positions 508 to 807 of the family's 1533-position model. The record is from RNAcentral.
ACAGCAGCCGCCGCGGUAAAACGGAGGGUGCAAGCGUUAAUCGGAAUUACUGGGCGUAAAGCGCACGCAGGCGGUUUGUUAAGUCAGAUGUGAAAUCCCCGAGCUUAACUUGGGAACUGCAUUUGAAACUGGCAAGCUAGAGUCUUGUAGAGGGGGGUAGAAUUCCAGGUGUAGCGGUGAAAUGCGUAGAGAUCUGGAGGAAUACCGGUGGCGAAGGCGACCCCCUGGACAAAGACUGACGCUCAGGUGCGAAAGCGUGGGGAGCAAACAGGAUUAGAUACCCGAGUAGUCCCUGUCUCUUAUAC